Molecule: non-coding RNA, 87 nt
Organism: Xylariomycetidae sp. FL2044
Lineage: Eukaryota; Fungi; Ascomycota; Sordariomycetes
Source: the annotation of a GenBank genome assembly
CUCCUAGUAGCUCAGUUGGUUUAGAGCGUUCGGCUGUAAUUGUACAAGAUCACCGAAAGGUCACCUGUUCGACUCAGGUCUGGGAGA